Molecule: ribosomal RNA, 253 nt
Filed under: uncultured bacterium
Lineage: Bacteria
Description: partial 16S ribosomal RNA
Rfam family: Bacterial small subunit ribosomal RNA
Source: RNAcentral
UACGUAGGGGGCGAGCGUUGUCCGGAUUUAUUGGGCGUAAAGAGCUCGUAGGCGGCUUGGCAAGUCGGGUGUGAACCUCCAGGCUCAACCUGGAGACGCCACUCGAUACUGCUAUGGCUAGAGUCCGGUAGGGGACCACGGAAUUCCUGGUGUAGCGGUGAAAUGCGCAGAUAUCAGGAGGAACACCGGUGGCGAAGGCGGUGGUCUGGGCCGGCACUGACGCUGAGGAGCGAAAGCGUGGGUAGCAAACAGG